GCAGGCCACAGCUACAGCUCCCCCCACCCCAAAAAAAAAAAAAAAAAAAAAGCUUUGGGGCGUAAGAGACAGAUUAAAGGGGCCAGUUUUAUUUGUUUUUAAACCUCUCCUUGUUUUCUUUCAAGACAAUGUUGAGGAAAAUAAUGAUAGUUAAUAGUUACUGGGCUCUUGUUAUGUAGUAGCACUGUUGUAAGUGCUUCAUCUACACUAAGUCAAUCCUCACAACCCUAUGAACUGCACAGUUAUUAUCCCCAUUUUGUUUUGUUUAUUUAUUUUUGGCCACACCCAGGCAUGUGGAAGUUCCUGGACCAGGUAUCAAACCCAUGCCGCAAUUGCAACCUGCUCCACAGCUGUGGGAUCACUGGAUCCUUAACCUGCUGCAGCACAUGGAAAUUCCUAUCCCCAUUUUAUAGACAAGGAGACAGAGUUGACAUAGUGGGAGAGAUUCAGGAUAGUCUGGCUCUAGAACGCAGCUCUGAACUGCCAUGCCACCCUACCACUCAGUGCCUAGUGUAACAUGCUGGUUAGUGAGAGUUUGUGUAAUUCCAUCAACCAAACCUCAUCCUUAAUUGCAUGAGGUGGUGGGUAGGAGGUGGGGGAUUUGAAGAAUCUUCUCUCAGAAGAGCAAGUUGAUAAGUAGGAGUACCUGGUGUGGUGGCUGACACUGGGCGCUCAGUGAAUAGUUGUUCAUCAAAUUACUUGAGACAUGUGGUAUGGUGGGAAAGUCACACUGGGAUUAGCCCAGCUCUAGCACUGACUGCAUCUUAGGCAAAUCAACUCCAGAGUAAAUUAUGCUUAUCUAUAAAAUGGGCAUAAUGCAGUUUGUUUUGCCUGCUUCUUGGGUCAUAGGAAGGAUUAUAUAAGACAAACCCUGCGUAAACUGAAUCAAUUUUGUUGUAUACUUUAAAGUUCCAUGGUUCCAAAGGGUGUCAUUUCAUGGGAGGAGUGAUAGGAAGGCAGCCUGGAGCCUCCUCUGGAGACACACAGAUGUUGCGCACACACAAGCACUCCAGGCCGUCAUCAAGUUGAUAGCCCACCCUGUAGCCCUCCUCAUCUGCUGAGCCAAGCAUCAGAAAGCAUGAAUGUUGGAACGCAGCAUGAGGCUCUGCCCAGCACCCGCUGAGUUACAUGAGCUAUUCAUACAAUGGGUGACAUUCUUCUAUCACACAUGCCCAGGAUCAUGUGCUCCUCUGUCCUUUUAGGUAAGUAUUUUGAACCCAGAAUGAAGGGGACUGACUGUGAACCUAUUUUAAUUUGUUUUAAACUUGUCAAUUAGAGAGCCAGCUCUGGAGUCAGAACUUCAUUUGAGUCUGGAUUCUAUUAGUCAAUAGCUGUGUGACUUUGGCAAAUUAAGCCUCUUAGUGCCUCUGUUUCCUUAUCUGCAAAAUGAGAAUAAUAA
This 1399-nucleotide long non-coding RNA is filed under the name Sus scrofa (pig). Its description in RNAcentral is "lncRNA (ENSSSCG00000058799.1)". Lineage: Eukaryota; Metazoa; Chordata; Mammalia; Artiodactyla; Suidae. The record is from RNAcentral.